RNAcentral lists this ribosomal RNA (1490 nucleotides) under Bacillus subtilis. RNAcentral describes it as "bacterial SSU rRNA". It matches the Rfam family "Bacterial small subunit ribosomal RNA". The record is from RNAcentral. Lineage: Bacteria; Bacillati; Bacillota; Bacilli; Caryophanales; Bacillaceae.
UCUAUACAUGCAGUCGAGCGGAAGAUGGGAGCUUGCUCCCUGAUGUUAGCGGCGGACGGGUGAGUAACACGUGGGUAACCUGCCUGUAAGACUGGGAUAACUCCGGGAAACCGGGGCUAAUACCGGAUGCUUGUUUGAACCGCAUGGUUCAAACAUAAAAGGUGGCUUCGGCUACCACUUACAGAUGGACCCGCGGCGCAUUAGCUAGUUGGUGAGGUAAUGGCUCACCAAGGCAACGAUGCGUAGCCGACCUGAGAGGGUGAUCGGCCACACUGGGACUGAGACACGGCCCAGACUCCUACGGGAGGCAGCAGUAGGGAAUCUUCCGCAAUGGACGAAAGUCUGACGGAGCAACGCCGCGUGAGUGAUGAAGGUUUUCGGAUCGUAAAGCUCUGUUGUUAGGGAAGAACAAGUACCGUUCGAAUAGGGCGGUACCUUGACGGUACCUAACCAGAAAGCCACGGCUAACUACGUGCCAGCAGCCGCGGUAAUACGUAGGUGGCAAGCGUUGUCCGGAAUUAUUGGGCGUAAAGGGCUCGCAGGCGGUUUCUUAAUUCUGAUGUGAAACCCCCCGGCUCAACCGAGGAGGGUCGUUGAAAGCUGGAGAACUUGACUGCAAAGGAGGAGAGUAACUCCUCCACGUGUAGGUGAAAUGUGUAUAGAGGUGUGAGAAAAACGCGAUGUCAAAAGGCGUACACUCUCUGUCUCUAUACUGUACCCCUAGGGAGGGAAAAGCAUGGGAGAAGUGAUGUAACCUGACCUCUGAGGUCGAGAAACGACAUGGGGAGAGUAACAGGUUUUAGAUACCGUUGUUCAGUACAACUCUGUACGCAUUGAGUGCUAUAGUGUUAGGGGGGUCUCCGCUCCCUUUUGUGGUGCAGAUAAUCGCACUAAGCACUCCGCCUGGGGAGUACGGUCCCAAGACUGAAACUCAAAGGAAUUGAAGGGGGCCCGCACAAGCGGUGGACCAUGUGGUUUAAUUCGAAGCAACGCGAAGAACCUUACCAGGUCUUGACAUCCUCUGACAAUCCUAGAGAUAGGACGUCCCCUUCGGGGGCAGAGUGACAGGUGGUGCAUGGUUGUCGUCAGCUCGUGUCGUGAGAUGUUGGGUUAAGUCCCGCAACGAGCGCAACCCUUGAUCUUAGUUGCCAGCAUUCAGUUGGGCACUCUAAGGUGACUGCCGGUGACAAACCGGAGGAAGGUGGGGAUGACGUCAAAUCAUCAUGCCCCUUAUGACCUGGGCUACACACGUGCUACAAUGGACAGAACAAAGGGCAGCGAAACCGCGAGGUUAAGCCAAUCCCACAAAUCUGUUCUCAGUUCGGAUCGCAGUCUGCAACUCGACUGCGUGAAGCUGGAAUCGCUAGUAAUCGCGGAUCAGCAUGCCGCGGUGAAUACGUUCCCGGGCCUUGUACACACCGCCCGUCACACCACGAGAGUUUGUAACACCCGAAGUCGGUGAGGUAACCUUUUAGGAGCCAGCCGCCGAU